UUGUGUACUUUCUUGUAUGAAAACACUUUGUGUUUACAUGCAAAGAGAGGCAUGAUGUAGACACGUAAUUUUGUCCCUCCCCGAAAGCAUUUUUAUCUAUUUUUAUCCUCGUCUUACCAUGUAUCCUACCCCAGGUGAUAAUCUCUUCACAAAAGAACAAAAAAUAACUUCUAACAAAUUAACAACUCACCCAAAUAAAAUUUAACACAUCACACCCCUACCCCUACCCUACCUUACUACCCUACCCCACGUACCUCCUUCACAUUUUUCUUCUUUUUGUAACAAACCAUAGCAGAAUAAGGGACACAUACACAUUGAGGAGAAAGGAUCCAAAAUAGACAUCACACACAAUAUAAGGGGAGAGAGAUUCCAUCUCCGGGGGGGGGGGGGUCUUUCUUCCAUUUUCACAGAACACACGCACAUAGAGCCAUAAAAUUCUUCAUAUUUUUCCUUCUUUCAUAUACACCCACACCACACACACAGAACAUGCACGCAACAAUAUACUCUUACCCACAUAGAGUUCCAAAUCAAGAGAGUGGUAGGAUAGAGGAAAGAGACGCGAGGGAGAUAGCGGAAAAGGGGGAAGUGAUUGGAAAAAAGGAACUGAGCGAGAGAGAGGGGAAAAAAGAUGUAGGCUGACUAUUUCCGGUGAUCUUUCGCUGAAAACUAGCCAAAAUCCGACACUGGAGAAUACCAUUGAUCUCUAAAAUCACCUAAAAAUUGACCAAAAUUCAGUUCAGGUGAGGUUUUCUUCAUUUUUUUGGUGAAUUCCGUUAAAGUUUUGUUAGAAAACGACAAACCAGCUGACUGUUCCUAACCAACUACCACCGUAAAUAGUCAAAACUACCAUAAACAGCUCGGCUCCAAUGAAAUUGAACAGAAAAUGAGCUACACAGUGACGUUUAUGCAUGAAAUCGGGUUCAGGUGUGGUCUAUCUUUCGCGAUAUCUAUUCAACUCAACUUGGUUUUUGAUUUCGUGAUUUCCCUAUUGGGUUCUGAUUUGAACGGAGCUUAGGUCAAAGUUUGUUGAUUUGGGGAUCGUAUAUGAGGUUCGAGUCGAGGUUUUUCUGUUGUGGGUCUAUCUUCAAUAUAUCGAAACCGACAAUUGAGGCUGAUCAUACGCUGCUACAAUAUUCGCUUCAGGGAAUGAAGCAGAUCCAGUGGGACGAGCUUCAUGAUUUUUCAUUCACAAAGUAUUAUUCUGCUCUGCCACAAGUAGGCUUGUAAUCAAUUCAGAAUAUUUAUUAAAUCCCUUUUCACGAUAUUGCUGUUGUAACAAUACAUUAAAAUCAUGAAAAGUGGAAAAAGUUUUCUCUA
Molecule: long non-coding RNA, 1317 nt
Organism: Capsicum annuum
Lineage: Eukaryota; Viridiplantae; Streptophyta; Magnoliopsida; Solanales; Solanaceae
Exons: 2
Source: RefSeq, a predicted model, not a curated record